GCAAGUCGAACGGAACUUUUGUUUUCGGUUCGAAGAUUAGCGGCGAAAGGGUGAGUAACGCGUGAGCAACCUGCCUUGAAGUUCGGGAUAGCCCAUGGAAACGUGGAUUAAUACCGGAUGUGGCCUGACGGCCUUGGUCGUCAAAGCUAAAAUUUUUUUGCUUCGAGAUGGGCUCGCGUUCCAUUAGCUAGUUGGUGAGGUAACGGCUCACCAAGGCUAUGACGGAUAGGUGGUCUGAGAGGACGGUC
This 248-nucleotide ribosomal RNA is filed under the name uncultured bacterium. Its description in RNAcentral is "partial 16S ribosomal RNA". It matches the Rfam family "Bacterial small subunit ribosomal RNA", at positions 57 to 305 of the family's 1533-position model. The record is from RNAcentral.